AUGUGGCCUCCACAGCUGGCACGCUUGGGCAGUGUCUGCACUAAACAGCUGUGCCUGGCAGCAAUCUGUCCCUGUCUCCUUCACGGGCCACGUCCAUCAGCAGCUGCCACAACUGUGGCCUUCAGGACACUUCUUGUUUCUCCUCCGAGCCCCAGCCUGGCUCAGGCCUCUCUCUGCCUCCUCCACCCUGAGCCCAAGCGCCCAGGACUUUCCUCAGGGCCAGCUCCGCCCAUUCUCUCCCCGGUCCCAGCUGGGGGUCCCUUCUCCCUGGGAUGGACCAGGCUCCUGCGGGGCCUACAGCAUCUUCAAUGCCACGCAUGCCGGAUCACUCGCCCUGUCCACCGGAAACCAGAACUGGGGAUCGAACCCAGAGCCUGCACACCGAACUACAUCCCAGUCCAGAGUGCCGCGAUGCAGGCUUGUGCCACCACAAUGGCUCCAGCCCCGCCCACUACCGGGCUCCGCCCACUGACCGCUCUUCGCAGCCGCGCGCCCAUCUGGUUCCCUCGCAGGUGGCUCCUCAGAUGCUCCACGCCCCGAGCCAGAAGCGUCUGCACGGUGCCCAGCGUGCCCUCUACGGUGCUCAGCAGCGUCCGCGCGAGCUGGGGAAGCUGCAGGUCCACGCUCUGUUGCAGGCAGGCCUCCAGCCAGGCCUGGACGUCAGCUGCAGGUAGAGAUAACCUGCUGAGUCCCCACUCAGCGAGAGGCGGAGGGCGAGCCCAGCACCCCUGACCCCCACUGCACAGGUGAGAAACAGCUCACCUGGGACAAUCGGCCAGACAGGCCAGGAUGCAGGGUCAGAUUCGAACCGCGUUUGAUUGUGGGCUGGAGUGGCGCCGUUAAGUCCGGCCUGACCUCCGCCCGGCUCGCACCACUAUCUUUUCCCUCCCUGAGCCACCCUCCUCGGCCCAGCUCCCUCGGUCCACCCUACCUGCAUCGCCCUGGGAGCCGCCAGGCCACGCCCACUCACUCUCUAGGCCCCACCCUUCGCCUCUCUACCUGCAUCGCCCUGGGAGCCGCCAGGCCACGCCCACUCACUCUCUAGGCCCCACCCUUCGCCUCCUACACUGCCCACUCAAGCGUAUUGGAGCCCAGGCCCCGCCUACUACCACCCUGGCUUCUUUCCAAUCCCCUGGCCCCGCCCCCGCCAAACCACGCCUCCCCCACUCUGACCCAACCACUCCGGGUAGAGACCACGCCCACCAUCCCGAGCACGCCCUCUUAGAUGGCCGAGCCCUGUCAAGUGGGGCCACACCGCCUAUCACGACACCCGGCCCUUCCACCAGGAUCCGCCCCAUGCACCAUUUAGGGCUCCCCUGUGGCCCCACACGUUUUAACCUCCAGGGACCCUUCCAUAAUACUGACCUGUAGCCUCAAGGCCCCGCCCCCUACGUCAUCUGGCUUCCUUCCAAAUUUUUAGCUGCGCUCACGUCCUACCCGACACGCCCCCCAUCGAUACUUAUAGCCGACCCCACCCACCCAAGUCCUCCGCCCCCAGUAUUGGCCACGCUCCACCCAAACAUGCACAUUCCAGACCGGGCCGCACCCCUCUACCUGGUCCCACCCUCAGCCCCACCUGGCCACGCCCAACCCUGGACCCUCCCCUUUCCUACCUCACACCUCUCCUUUACCUUGGUUCCAGGCUCCCAGCC
Fukomys damarensis (Damara mole-rat) is the source of this 1652-nucleotide long non-coding RNA. NCBI's taxonomy places the organism in Eukaryota, Metazoa, Chordata, Mammalia, Rodentia, Bathyergidae. The record is from Ensembl.